GACGAACCGUGCGAACGUUGUUCGGAUUCACUGGGCUUAAAGGGCGCGUAGGCGGGCGGUCAAGUCAGGGGUGAAAUCUUUCGGCCUAACCGGAAAAGGGCCUCUGAUACUGGCCGUCUCGAGGGAGGUAGGGGCAUGCGGAACUUCCGGUGGAGCGGUGAAAUGCGUAGAUAUCGGAAGGAACGCCGGUGGCGAAAGCGGCGUGCUGGACCUCUUCUGACGCUGAGGCGCGCAAGCCAGGGGAGCGAACGGG
RNAcentral lists this ribosomal RNA (253 nucleotides) under uncultured bacterium. RNAcentral's name for it is "partial 16S ribosomal RNA". It matches the Rfam family "Bacterial small subunit ribosomal RNA", at positions 524 to 776 of the family's 1533-position model. The record is from RNAcentral.